UGCCGCCGCGAGGGGAUGGGGCUGCGUCCUAUUAGCUAGUUGGUGAGGUAACGGCUCACCAAGGCUUCGAUGGGUAGCUGGUCUGAGAGGACGGCCAGCCACAUUGGGACUGAGAUACGGCCCAGACUCCUACGGGAGGCAGCAGUGGGGAAUCUUGGCCAAUGGACGAAAGUCUGAGCCAGCGACACCGCGUGGGGGAUGACGGCCUUCGGGUUGUAAACCCCUUUUCUGGGGAAAGAAUAAGGACGGGAGGGAAUGCCCGCCCGAUGACGGUACUCCAGGAAUAAGCAUCGGCUAACUCUGUGCCAGCAGCCGCGGUAAGACAGAGGAUGCGAGCGUUAUCCGGAAUUACUGGGCGUAAAGGGCGUCUAGGCGGUUCGGUAAGUCGUUUGUGAAAUCCCUUGGCUCAACCGAGGAGAGUCUUGCGAUACUGCCGGGCUUGGGUGUAGGAGAGGAGGGUGGAACUCACAGAGUAGCGGUGGAAUGCGUAGAUACUGUGAGGUACCCCGAUGGCGAAGGCAACCCUCUGGCCUACUACCGACGCUGAAGCGCGAAAGCGUGGGGAGCAAAGGGGAUUAGAUACCCCCGUAGUCCACGCCCUAAACAAUGUUCACUUGGUGUCGGCCGCUUAUACUGGUCGGUGCCGAAGCUAACGCGUUAAGUGAACCGCCUGAGGAGUACGGCCGCAAGGCUAAAACUCAAGAGAAUUGACGGGUCCCUGCACAAGCGGUGGAGCACGUGGUUUAAUUCGAUGAUAAACGAAGAACCUCACCCAGGCUUGACAUACUAGUGGUAGAAACCUGAAAGGGGGCCGACCCUGCCUUCGGGUAGGGAGCUAGUACAGGUGAUGCAUGGCUGUCGUCAGCUCGUGUCGUGGGAUGUUGGGUUCAGUCCCGAAACGAGCGCAACCCUUGUCGUUAGUUGCCAGCGGGUAAUGCCGGGGACUCUAACGAGACUGCUGGUGAAUAGCCGGAGGAAGGCGGGGAUGACGUCAAGUCAUCAUGUCCCUUAUGCCUGGGGCGACACACAUGCUACAAUGGGGGGUACAAAGGGUCGCAAUCCCGUAAGGGGGAGCCAAUCCAUAAAAACCCCUCUCAGUUCGGAUUGAGGUCUGCAACUCGACCUCAUGAAGCCGGAAUCGCUAGUAAUCGCGGGUCAGCCAUACCGCGGUGAAUAUGUACUCAGGGAUUGUACACACCGCCCGUCACACCAACCGAGUGGGGGGUACCUGAAGUCGCUCUUCUAAGGGCGCCUAGGGUAACUUCCGCAAGAGGGGUGAAGUCGUAACAAGGUA
Molecule: ribosomal RNA, 1294 nt
Filed under: metagenome
Description: bacterial SSU rRNA
Rfam family: Bacterial small subunit ribosomal RNA
Source: RNAcentral